This 433-nucleotide ribosomal RNA is filed under the name uncultured bacterium. Its description in RNAcentral is "partial 16S ribosomal RNA". It matches the Rfam family "Bacterial small subunit ribosomal RNA", at positions 29 to 507 of the family's 1533-position model. The record is from RNAcentral.
AACGAACGCUGGCGGCAUGCCUAACACAUGCAAGUCGAACGAGACCUUCGGGUCUAGUGGCGCACGGGUGCGUCACGCGUGGGAACCUGCCCUUAGGUUCGGAAUAACUCCCCGAAAGGGGUGCUAAUACCGGAUAAUGUCUUCGGACCCAAGAUUUAUCGCCCUUGGAUGGGCCCGCGUUGGAUUAGCUAGUUGGUAGGGUAAAAGCCUACCAAGGCGACGAUCCAUAGCUGGUCUGAGAGGAUGGUCAGCCACACUGGGGCUGGGACACGGCCCAGACUCCUACGGGAGGCAGCAAUGGGGAAUAUUGGAAAAUGGGCGAAAGCAUGAACCAGCAAUGCCGCGAAAGUGAUGAAGGCGUUAGGGUUGUAAAGCUCUUUUAAACGGGAUGAUAAUGACAGUACCGGGAGAAUAAGCACCGGCUAACUCCGUG